This 329-nucleotide ribosomal RNA is filed under the name Rhizophagus fasciculatus. Lineage: Eukaryota; Fungi; Glomeromycota; Glomeromycetes; Glomerales; Glomeraceae. The record is from RNAcentral.
CAGUCGUACCGGCGGAUAAUCAGCCUUUCGGGUGCGAUUCUGUGGGGCGUGAGGAGUUUAACCGCCUUCGUGUUUUGCAUAUUCGUGCACAUUUGGUGUACUUGUCCGUGUGGUGGGUUAACAUCAAUUUCGGUCGUCAUAAAAUGAUUGGAGGAAUGUAGCUUUGAUCUCGUAUCGAAGUGUUAUAGACUCUGGUAGAUGUGACGAUUGGGGAUUGAGGAUUGCAACGGGGUACCCCUUUGGGGGCUACCCGGUCUGAUCUCUGAAGGUUGCUCCGGUGCCGAAAGCGUGCUUACGGUCAUCGAAAGUGAUUUUCAAAAGGUUAGAAC